UACGUAGGGUGCAAGCGUUAAUCGGAAUUACUGGGCGUAAAGCGUGCGCAGGCGGUUUUGUAAGUCUGUCGUGAAAUCCCCGGGCUCAACCUGGGAAUUGCGAUGGAGACUGCAAGGCUAGAAUCUGGCAGAGGGGGGUAGAAUUCCACGUGUGAGCAGUGAAAUGCGUAGAGAUGUGGAGGAACACCGAUGGCGAAGGCAGCCCCCUGGGUCAAGAUUGACGCUCAUGCACGAAAGCGUGGGGAGCAAACGAGGAUA
RNAcentral lists this ribosomal RNA (258 nucleotides) under uncultured bacterium. RNAcentral describes it as "partial 16S ribosomal RNA". It matches the Rfam family "Bacterial small subunit ribosomal RNA", at positions 524 to 780 of the family's 1533-position model. The record is from RNAcentral.